AUUCAGUUGACGAGUUCCAAAUAGGACGAAACGUACAUCCUGAAU
This 45-nucleotide non-coding RNA is filed under the name Schistosoma mattheei. The record is from RNAcentral. Lineage: Eukaryota; Metazoa; Platyhelminthes; Trematoda; Strigeidida; Schistosomatidae.